GGAAUUGACGGGGCCCGCACAAGCGGUGAGCAUGUGGUUUAAUCGAUGGUACGCGAGGAACCUUACAGGGCUUGACAUACGUUGGAAGCGCAUCGAAAGGUGCGUGCCGCUUGCGGCCGGCGUACAGGUGCUGCAUGGCUGUCGUCAGCUCGUGCUGUGAAGUGUUGGGUUAAGUCCCGCAACGAGCGCAACCCCCUGCUGCCUGUUGCCACCACGAGAGGUGGGGACUCAGGCGGGACCGCCGGUGACAAACCGGAGGAAGGUGGGGACGACGUCAAGUCAUCAUGGCCCUUAUGUCCUGGGCUACACACGUGCUACAAUGGCCGGUACAGAGCGCAGCGAGGCCGCGAGGCGGAGCGAAUCGCUUAAAGCCGGUCCCAGUACGGAUUGGAGUCUGCAACCCGACUCCAUGAAGUUGGAAUCGCUAGUAAUCGCGCAUCAGCAUGGCGCGGUGAAUACGUUCCCGGGCCUU
Molecule: ribosomal RNA, 472 nt
Filed under: uncultured Spirochaeta sp.
Lineage: Bacteria; Pseudomonadati; Spirochaetota; Spirochaetia; Spirochaetales; Spirochaetaceae
Description: bacterial SSU rRNA
Rfam family: Bacterial small subunit ribosomal RNA
Source: RNAcentral